Molecule: ribosomal RNA, 410 nt
Filed under: uncultured bacterium
Lineage: Bacteria
Description: bacterial SSU rRNA
Rfam family: Bacterial small subunit ribosomal RNA
Source: RNAcentral
UAAGGAAUAUUGGUCAAUGGACGCAAGUCUGAACCAGCCAUGCCGCGUGAAGGAUGAAGGUCCUCUGGAUUGUAAACUUCUUUUAUCUGGGACGAAAACGGGAUUUUUAUCUCAAUUGACGGUACCAGAGGAAUAAGCACCGGCUAACUCCGUGCCAGCAGCCGCGGUAAUACGGAGGGUGCGAGCGUUAUCCGGAUUUACUGGGUUUAAAGGGUGCGUAGGUGGGCUUAUAAGUCAGUGUUGAAAUCUCCGAGCUUAACUUGGAAACUGCCGUUGAUACUAUAGGUCUUGAAUUAUCUGGAGGUAAGCGGAAUAUGUCAUGUAGCGGUGAAAUGCUUAGAUAUGACAUAGAACACCAAUUGCGAAGGCAGCUUACUACAUAUAAAUUGACGCUGAGGCACGAAAGCGUG